AGUGAACGCUGGCGGUAGGCCUAACACAUGCAAGUCGAACGGCAGCACAGUAAGAUCUUGCUCUUACGGGUGGCGAGUGGCGGACGGGUGAGGAAUACAUCGGAAUCUACUUUUUCGUGGGGGAUAACGUAGGGAAACUUACGCUAAUACCGCAUACGACCUACGGGUGAAAGCAGGGGAUCUUCGGACCUUGCGCGAUUGAAUGAGCCGAUGUCGGAUUAGCUAGUUGGCGGGGUAAAGGCCCACCAAGGCGACGAUCCGUAGCUGGUCUGAGAGGAUGAUCAGCCACACUGGAACUGAGACACGGUCCAGACUCCUACGGGAGGCAGCAGUGGGGAAUAUUCGGCAAUGGGCGCAAGCCUGAUCCAGCAAUACCGCGUGGGUGAAGAAGGCCUUCGGGUUGUAAAGCCCUUUUGUUGGGAAAGAAAAGCAGCAGGUUAAUACCCCGCUGUUCUGACGGUACCCAAAGAAUAAGCACCGGCUAACUUCGUG
RNAcentral lists this ribosomal RNA (492 nucleotides) under uncultured bacterium. RNAcentral's name for it is "partial 16S ribosomal RNA". It matches the Rfam family "Bacterial small subunit ribosomal RNA", at positions 29 to 507 of the family's 1533-position model. The record is from RNAcentral.